Molecule: ribosomal RNA, 290 nt
Filed under: Staphylococcus aureus
Lineage: Bacteria; Bacillati; Bacillota; Bacilli; Caryophanales; Staphylococcaceae
Description: partial 23S ribosomal RNA
Rfam family: Bacterial large subunit ribosomal RNA
Source: RNAcentral
GGUCCCUAUCCGUCGUGGGCGUAGGAAAUUUGAGAGGAGCUGUCCUUAGUACGAGAGGACCGGGAUGGACAUACCUCUGGUGUACCAGUUGUCGUGCCAACGGCAUAGCUGGGUAGCUAUGUGUGGACGGGAUAAGUGCUGAAAGCAUCUAAGCAUGAAGCCCCCCUCAAGAUGAGAUUUCUUAACUUCGGUUAUAAGAUCCCUCAAAGAUGAUGAGGUUAAUAGGUUCGAGGUGGAAGCAUGGUGACAUGUGGAGCUGACGAAUACUAAUCGAUCGAAGACUUAAUCAA